This 798-nucleotide non-coding RNA is filed under the name Vermiophis taishanensis. Lineage: Eukaryota; Metazoa; Arthropoda; Insecta; Diptera; Vermileonidae. The record is from RNAcentral.
AAAAUAUUUUAUUUUAGUAAAUAAUUUGUUUAUAAUUUAUAUUUAUAUGUAAAUUUUUGUAUAUUAUAAUUAUUUUCUUAAAGAAUUAAUUAUAAAUUUGCAGUAAUUAAUUUUAAAAAUUAAAGAAAUUUAGAUUUAGUAAUAUUAAUUUAAUAUUGAUAAAAUUUGUGCCAGCAAUCGCGGUUACACAAAAAAUAUAAAUAAAUUUAUUUGGUAUUAGUUAAAUGAUUUUAUUUUAAAAUUUAAAAAAAUAAUUUUAUUAAGUGAAAUUUUAAAAUUUAAAUUUAAAUUUUAAAAUUAUUUAUUUUGAAACUAAGAAAAUUUGUUAAAAAACUAGGAUUAGAUACCCUAUUAUUCAAAUUUUAAUUUAAAAUACUUAAGUAGUAAUAGAUAAGGUCUUGAAACUUAAAAAAUUUGGCGGUAUUUUAUUCUGUUCAGAGGAACCUGUUCUGUAAUCGAUAAUCCACGAUGGAUCUAACUUGAAUUUGUUAAUCAGUUUGUAUAUCGCCGUUAUGAAAAAUUUUAUAAGAAAAAUAAUUUUUAAUAAUUAUAAUUAUAAUUAAUGUCAGGUCAAGGUGCAGUUUAUGUUUAAGUAGAAAUGGGUUACAAUAAAAUUAUUUAAUUUAUGAAUUUAUAAAUGUAAUUUUAUAAUGAAAGUGGAUUUGAAAGUAAAAUUAUAAAGAUAAAUAAUUUGAUUAUAGAACUAAAAUAUGUACAUAUCGCCCGUCACUCUUGUUAAAUUAAAAAUAAGAUAAGUCGUAACAAAGUAGAUGUAUUGGAAAAUGUAUCUAGAAUCAA